UGGGGAAUCUUGCGCAAUGGACGAAAGUCUGACGCAGCCACGCCGCGUGAGUGAAGAAGGCCUUCGGGUUGUAAAGCUCUGUCACCUGGGACGAAAACACUGACGGUGAAUAGCCGUCGGAAUUGACGGUACCAGGGGAGGAAGCACCGGCUAACUUCGUGCCAGCAGCCGCGGUAAUACGAAGGGUGCAAGCGUUGCUCGGAAUUAUUGGGCGUAAAGGGUUGGUAGGUGGUCUUGUUUGUCUAAGGUGAAAUCCCAUGGCUUAACUGUGGAAGUGCCUUAGAAACGGCAAGACUAGAGUCCUAGAGGGGUUUGUGGAAUUCCCGGUGUAGCGGUGAAAUGCGUAGAGAUCGGGAGGAACACCAGCGGCGAAGGCGGCAAACUGGAUAGGCACUGACACUCAACAACGAAAGCGUGGGGAGCAAACAG
This 429-nucleotide ribosomal RNA is filed under the name uncultured bacterium. RNAcentral's name for it is "bacterial SSU rRNA". It matches the Rfam family "Bacterial small subunit ribosomal RNA", at positions 355 to 775 of the family's 1533-position model. The record is from RNAcentral.